GAUGAACGUUGGCGGUGUGCCUAAUACAUGCAAGUCGAACGGAGUUAAUAGCAAUAUUGACUUAGUGGCGAACGGGUGAGUAACGCGUUGGUGAUCUGCCUCAAAGUGUGGAAUAACGUUCCGAAAGGAACGCUAAUACCGCAUGUGCUCUCGAUUUUUAGAAAGUUGAGAGUAAAGGAUUUAUUCGCUUUGAGAGGAGCCUGCGUCCCAUCAGCUAGUUGGUAGGGUAAAAGCCUACCAAGGCUAUGACGGGUAGGGGACCUGAGAGGGUCGGCCCCCCACAAUGGAACUGAAACACGGUCCAUACACCUACGGGUGGCAGCAGUAGGGAAUAUUAGAAAUGGACGAAAGUCUGAUCUAGCGACACCGCGUGUGCGAUGAAGGCCUUCGGGUUGUAAAGCACUUUUUGGAAGGAAUAGGAAGGAAGGUACUUCCAGAAUAAGUCUCGGCUAACUACGUG
RNAcentral lists this ribosomal RNA (460 nucleotides) under uncultured bacterium. Its description in RNAcentral is "bacterial SSU rRNA". It matches the Rfam family "Bacterial small subunit ribosomal RNA", at positions 28 to 507 of the family's 1533-position model. The record is from RNAcentral.